GCCAGCAUGGUCUGGGGGUUUGAUGUUGGACUAGGACUCCAGGGGACUAGGGUUCGAAUCCCUAUUUAGCCA
Non-coding RNA from Phrynosoma platyrhinos (Desert horned lizard), 72 nucleotides. The record is from the annotation of a GenBank genome assembly. NCBI's taxonomy places the organism in Eukaryota, Metazoa, Chordata, Lepidosauria, Squamata, Phrynosomatidae.